Molecule: long non-coding RNA, 1377 nt
Filed under: Phoenix dactylifera (date palm)
Lineage: Eukaryota; Viridiplantae; Streptophyta; Magnoliopsida; Arecales; Arecaceae
Description: long non-coding RNA (PDAC_LNC014839)
Source: RNAcentral
CGUUCAAUGUGGGGGGCACAUAUAGCUUCGGCCUUCGAUUUCUAUAAGGAUCUGACUCCUCGGGGCAGUGAGGGGAGCAUACCUUUUAAACUUUCAAGGAGGGCUUUUAGGACGUCGCAAGCUCAUUUCAUGCUAAGAUGAAGUACUCUGUGAUGCCCCUCGCUCUUCGCGCCUUCUUUUGCCUCCUCGGGGAGGUUUUCAUAAACAGACUCACGAUGGGAGGCCCUAGCUUCCUCAUAUUGACAUAUUUUUCUGCUCAUGACAACAUUUCAAUGAAGUUGGCAGGGUAGCGCUUCUUUAAGAAGAAGAAGAUGCGUGACAAUCAUAAACCGUUCUUCAAUGCCGACAUCGCGACUGAUUCAUCCAAGUUGUAGACCUCCAAUGUCGCCACAUUGAAGUGGUUGACAUGACCUCUAAGGAACUCUUUCUCCCUCUGCUUGAUGUCGAGCAGUGCAUCAGAACCAUGACGCUACCUUUAGCUAGAGAUGAAGUGUGCCAUGAAGAUACAUUCGAGCUGCUCAAAAGACUGAAUAGAUUCAGGCCGAAGCCCUAAGAACCAAAACGAAACCACUUUAUGAAGAGUUGCGAGGAAGGCCUUACAAACAGCAUCGAUGGCUCCAUGCGCGUCCACACACCAAGCUCUCCUGUUCUGGAUCAACCUCAUCCGCAAGCCAUCCCGUGAUGCAUAUCUCUUCCUCGGCUUCAUCCUCCCGUGAACCCCGACUCCUUCAUCCACAGAAAAGAUCCAGCUUUAUCCCUUCCGAAAUGCUCUGCAUCCUUCCCACGUCUCUCUACCAAACAGAGCCCAUCUACAUCUCCCAGCCAUUUCCUUCUUUCCGUGACCCAAUCCUCUCAAACAUUCCACCGUCCGCUUGGAUCUAGGUCCCAUCUCCUCCCACGUCCGGAUACUCCGCAAGCUUCAUCCUUAUCCCGUUCAUAAUCAUCUCUUCAUCUCCACAGAUUGCGUCUCAAUCAAACUCCCAAACAUGGAUCUCCUUCUAUCUUGGUCCCACGCUUAUCUUCCCAUUCCGGUAUCCAUCUUCCUUCAACCCCUAUUCCCAUGCGCUCCCAGCCAACCGAAAAUCAAACUCAAAGUCAUUCGUAUCCCCUGCUUCUGAACAGAUCUCAACUCCUCUUCACCCACGGAUCACUCCCUUCCCAGCUCCCAUGCAUUCAAGACAUUCAUCUAAAACCAAGCCUCAUCCUCUUCUCCCGUAUCCAAACAAAAUCCCAUGAACCCAGCAACCGUAUUCAUCCUCAUCUCCCGUUCGCAUAUGCUGUGAUUCUCCCCUGUUUCACGUACAUCCCGUUCGUGAGUUCCUCCCAGAACAGCCGAGAUCCUCUCCGCUUCAUUCCUUCCAUCAAUCAAAGCAACCC